AUACAGAGGUGGCAAGCGUUGUUCGGAAUUACUGGGCGUAAAGGGCGCGUAGGCGGCCUUCUAAGUCGGACGUGAAAGCCCCAGGCUUAACCUGGGAACUGCGUCCGAUACUGGGAGGCUUGGAUUCGGGAGAGGGAUGUGGAAUUCCAGGUGUAGCGGUGAAAUGCGUAGAUAUCUGGAGGAACACCGGUGGCGAAGGCGGCAUCCUGGACCGAGAUCGACGCUGAGGCGCGAAAGCUAGGGGAGCAAACGGGAUUAGAUACCCCGGUAGUCCUAGCCCUAAACGAUGAGUGCUUGGUGUGGCGGGUAUCGAUCCCUGCCGUGCCGAAGCUAACGCAUUAAGCACUCCGCCUGGGGAGUACGGUCGCAAGGCUGAA
RNAcentral lists this ribosomal RNA (377 nucleotides) under uncultured bacterium. RNAcentral's name for it is "bacterial SSU rRNA". It matches the Rfam family "Bacterial small subunit ribosomal RNA", at positions 523 to 898 of the family's 1533-position model. The record is from RNAcentral.